CCUGCCCUGAAGGCCGUGUUCGGUGGCUGGCCUAGCCUGAUGGGAACUUGUACAGUCAGGAAAUCUCUCCACAGCUCCAAGCCCAGAGUUCACUCCUGACGGGAACAUCCAGAGACAUCUUCAGAGAGCUUUGCUUUGACCCCCACGUCCCAACAUUUUAAGAGAAAUCAUGAGGAAAUCUCCACUCAUUCGGGUCAGCAUCACAGUUGCAGUAUGUUGCAGGAUUCCUGGGAGUCGAUGUGAUUUUUUUCUAAUACAUACACGUUUCUCAACGUUGGGCAAAUAACCUCUCCGGUAACUGUGCGCUUCGCUGGUCCU
This is a long non-coding RNA of Pongo pygmaeus (Bornean orangutan), 318 nucleotides long. RefSeq lists it as uncharacterized. NCBI's taxonomy places the organism in Eukaryota, Metazoa, Chordata, Mammalia, Primates, Hominidae. The record is from RefSeq and is a predicted model, not a curated record. The transcript is spliced from 3 exons.